RNAcentral lists this transfer RNA (103 nucleotides) under Hypoxylon sp. FL0890. RNAcentral describes it as "tRNA-Ser". It matches the Rfam family "tRNA". From Rfam's summary of the family: Transfer RNA (tRNA) molecules are approximately 80 nucleotides in length. Their secondary structure includes four short double-helical elements and three loops (D, anti-codon, and T loops). Lineage: Eukaryota; Fungi; Ascomycota; Sordariomycetes; Xylariales; Hypoxylaceae. The record is from RNAcentral.
GGCGCAGUGGCAGAGUGGUCUAAUGCGAUAGACUAGAACGCCUUCCAGGUUUCUAGCUCAUCUAUUCCCUUCGGGGGCGUCUGUUCGAAUCAGGCCUGCGUCG